Molecule: ribosomal RNA, 468 nt
Filed under: uncultured bacterium
Lineage: Bacteria
Description: partial 16S ribosomal RNA
Rfam family: Bacterial small subunit ribosomal RNA
Source: RNAcentral
GACGAACGCUGGCGGCGUGCUUAACACAUGCAAGUCGAACGGAGAGGCCCUGCUUUUGUGGGGUGCUCGAGUGGCGAACGGGUGAGUAACACGUGAGUAACCUGCCCUUGACUUUGGGAUAACUUCAGGAAACUGGGGCUAAUACCGGAUAGGAGCUCCUGCUGCAUGGUGGGGGUUGGAAAGUUUCGGCGGUUGGGGAUGGACUCGCGGCUUAUCAGCUUGUUGGUGGGGUAGUGGCUUACCAAGGCUUUGACGGGUAGCCGGCCUGAGAGGGUGACCGGUCACAUUGGGACUGAGAUACGGCCCAGACUCCUACGGGAGGCAGCAGUGGGGAAUAUUGCACAAUGGGCGGAAGCCUGAUGCAGCAACGCCGCGUGCGGGAUGACGGCCUUCGGGUUGUAAACCGCUUUCGCCUGUGACGAAGCGUGAGUGACGGUAAUGGGUAAAGAAGCACCGGCUAACUACGUG